RNAcentral lists this ribosomal RNA (450 nucleotides) under uncultured bacterium. RNAcentral's name for it is "partial 16S ribosomal RNA". It matches the Rfam family "Bacterial small subunit ribosomal RNA", at positions 354 to 796 of the family's 1533-position model. The record is from RNAcentral.
GUGGGGAAUAUUGGACAAUGGGCGAAAGCCUGAUCCAGCCAUGCCGCGUGUGUGAAGAAGGUCUUCGGAUUGUAAAGCACUUUAAGUUGGGAGGAAGGGCAGUAAGUUAAUACCUUGCUGUUUUGACGUUACCUACAGAAUAAGCACCGGCUAACUUCGAGCCAGCAGCCGCGGUAAUACGAUGGGUGCAAGCGUUAAUCGGAAUUACUGGGCGUAAAGCGCGCGUAGGUGGUUUUGUAAGUUGGAGGUGAAAUCCCCGGGCUCAACCAGGGAACUGCCUCCAAAACUGCAUGACUAGAGUACGGUAGAGGGUAGUGGAAUUUCCUGUGUAGCGGUGAAAUGCGUAGAUAUAGGAAGGAACACCAGUGGAGAAGGCGACUACCUGGACUGAUACUGACACUGAGGUGCGAAAGCGUGGGGAGCAAACAGGAUUAGAUACCCUUGUAGUCC